Molecule: long non-coding RNA, 1535 nt
Filed under: Cricetulus griseus (Chinese hamster)
Lineage: Eukaryota; Metazoa; Chordata; Mammalia; Rodentia; Cricetidae
Description: lncRNA (ENSCGRG00015037767.1)
Source: RNAcentral
ACUAUCUGAAGCCUUGCAUACAGGAAAAAAAAAAAAACGCAAAGAAGUCUGGGGCACAUCAAGUGUCUUAUAUAUGAAAAGCAGCCUUGUCACUGUGAAGAUAGCUAAUGCUGAAAGCAGAGAAUUAUUUUUUCUUUGUUUUGUUUUGUUUUGUUUUGUUUUGUUUUGUAUUGAAACAGGGUUUCUCUGUGAAACAGUCCUGGCUGUCCUGGAAUUCACUCUGUAGACAAGGCUGGCCUGGAAUUCACAGAGGUCUGCCUGCCUCUGCCUCACAAGGGUUGGAAUUAAAGGCAUGUGCCACCGCCACCUGGCUCCAGAUUUCUUUUUUCAACUCAUCACUGUGUUUCUGCCUAAAAGACCCAUCACAAGAAAUAGAUUAUCAUAGAAAAGGAGCAACAUUUACUUAAUGUCUGCUUGUGGUCACUAGCAAAUGAAAGGACAACGUCACCACUCUGGCUCUGAAAGGAUUGGUGUAUUACACUUUGUUAAGCUAUACUUACAUCUGGGAAUCUCCGAUGCCAAAGCCAAUCUUGGGACUGCUGAGUUUAUGUAAGGUUUGAAAACUAUAGAUUCAUUCCUGCUGCCUUCUAUCGGUUGCACAUAGAUCACAACUCAACCCAACUUCAAGGGGAAGGAACAUGGAUAUACCUCAACUGGUGUAAGGAUCUUCCAUCUCACGGCAGCAAUUAAAUGAUCAUCAAGGUGGAAAAAGGCCAUGAUCUUUGGUAUCAUUUAGGAGAAAUGAAGAACUUCCAAGAAUCUCACCUUUGCCCGAAAGUGACCCCGGAACUUAUACAGUGGGUACACCGUCCAGAGAGAAGCAGAAAGUUGGAAAGAAUCCAGCCUCUUUCUAUUUCCACUACUGUAUAUUGAAUUAAACAUUGUUAUUUGGAUCUAAAAAGUCCCCCAAAGCCCAUGGUUGAAGACUUCAUAUUGAUAGUAUGGGACUCGUUGGAGAUUUUACACUCCCUAGGAGGAGGGACCUGCUGGGAAGUCAUCUAAUCAUUGGCAACAUGGCAUUGAAGAGUAUAGUGGGACUCUGGCCCCCCCUCUUGUUUCUUUGCUUUUCAGCUACUUUGAAGAAGCUUCCUCUAUCAUACUCCUUAUCAUACACUGCCUCAUCACAGGCCACAAAUCAUUGGACACUCCUGAAGCCAUGAGCCAAAAUGAAUCUCUCCUCUUGGUCAGCUCUAGUAGUUUGUUACAGUAUUGGGAACCUAAUCAGCACAGAAACCAUCAUUGCUAGAUAAUAUAUAAAGAUGUAAUAUUCUCAUAUUAUUGAAUAGGGGUUUGUGUUAAUAAGAGAGCAAUUAUGACUUUAAAGAAUACUUUCAAGAAAAAUUGAAGAAUUUUUUUUUCUGGCAUGUGCUUCAGUCUUUUAUUUACCAAGUCAACCAUACUCUGUGGUCAACCUAAGUUCUUCAUCCCACAUAUAUCUGUUAGAAAAUGUUGAGAUUCUUUUGAUGGUUAUGUGAUAGCUAGUAAUUACUGGCAUUUAAUACAUCUUUUUCUUAAUUAAAAACAAUUAAAUGGGC